CUUAAGCCCUCUCUUCCCUAUGCCAGUCCCCACGCCCUCUCUUCCCUGCCUCAAAACCGCACGCCCUCACUCUCUAACUCUCGCAAUCCACGCCUCCACCGCCAUAGCCGCCAACGAAGCUACCGCCACAGCUCACUCUCCACCGCUAGACCGUCGUUUCCUCCGAUUGAGAGAGCCUUGCGACGCUGCCGCUGCCUCCCUUGCACCGACGCCGCCGCUGCCUCCCCUGCGCCGACGCCGCCGCUGCCUCCCCUGCGCCGACGCCGCCGCAGUCGACGCCUCUACCCCAGCCACCGCCGUCCACUGCCGCAAACACGCAGGUUUCAAUAUUAAAUCUCUCUACCUGAUGUUCCUGAAGAAAGAAAUAUUUCCGUUAAGGAUGUAAAUGAAGAAAUAAGAUCUGGAACUUAUACAAUUGAUGAUGUUGUCCUUCCAUUGCCGGGGUCAAGAAGCAUGGAAUUGACUAGUGAAGCUGUUGAGUUCUUGAAGGGGAUCUUUAGUACAUGUUGGAUAUGGGUCUCUUAUUUCUUUUUGUUAAACUAGUUUUUGUCCCGUGCGAUGCACGGCAUAAAAUUUAAGUAACUUUAU
Ipomoea nil (Japanese morning glory) is the source of this 588-nucleotide RNA transcript. RefSeq lists it as uncharacterized. The transcript is spliced from 5 exons. Lineage: Eukaryota; Viridiplantae; Streptophyta; Magnoliopsida; Solanales; Convolvulaceae. The record is from RefSeq and is a predicted model, not a curated record.